UACGGAGGGGGCUAGCGUUGUUCGGAAUUACUGGGCGUAAAGCGCGCGUAGGCGGCUUUUCAAGUCAGGGGUGAAAUCCUUGGGCUCAACCCAAGAAUUGCCUUUGAAACUGUGGAGCUAGAGUGUCGGAGGGGAUAGCGGAAUUGCUAAUGUAGAGGUGAAAUUCGUAGAUAUGAGCAGGAACACCGGUGGCGAAGGCGGCUAUCUGGACGACAACUGACGCUGAGGCGCGAAAGCGUGGGGAUCAAACAGG
This 253-nucleotide ribosomal RNA is filed under the name uncultured bacterium. RNAcentral describes it as "partial 16S ribosomal RNA". It matches the Rfam family "Bacterial small subunit ribosomal RNA", at positions 524 to 776 of the family's 1533-position model. The record is from RNAcentral.